UCUCUUCCUCUCUCUUUCUUUCUCUAGGGUUUUAUUAUGGGCUUUUGCUAGCUUGGAACUAGAGUUGGAUCUCUGGCCUUGAAGUCGGAGAUGCACAGGCCCCUGCUUGGCCGGGCCUGCAGAGUUCUGCGGUACACCCACCACACCGCACACUGUUUUACACUCCUCCACCGCUCACUCUCUAGCCUUCUCCCUGAGUCACAGCGAGAGGUUAGAGGGCCCUCUGCUGGCUGAAGGGUGUAAAGAUUCUACAUUCCCUUGGAGCCUCACGUCUCCCAUGCCCUGUGGAGUAGGGGGCUGCAGUGCUCACAGUGGUGAAGGACUGGGGCUGAGCUGGUUCCUCUACACCCCACUUCCCAUUUGUGGUAUGUAUGUAGGUUUUAUGUACAUUUGCAUGUAUGUGCAUGUGACUGCAUGUGUGUGGGCAAGUGCAAGUGCACUGAGGUGUAAGUGGUGCAAGUGUGGAGGCCUGAUGUUAAGGUCAAGUGUCUUCUUCAACUGUUGCCCACUGUUUACUGAGGCGGGGCCUCUCACUGAAACCCAGAUACCCAGCUUGUCCUGGGGAUGCCUUCUCUCUGCCUCCCAAGUACUGAGAUUCCAGGGUUCUGAGGAGGUGGACACCUCACACGUGCAUGGCACUGGCUUUAUCCACUGAGCCAUCUUCCCCACCCCCAGCUGGCUUCUUACCUCCCGGUACUCAUUAACGUUUCUGUAAAUGUUGGUGUUGGGGAUCUGACCCAAGACGAGGAUCUUGGUUCUGGAAGGAAAUGUACUGGUCUUAGGUCCCUGUGCCCUUGCCCUGCACGCUGUCCUCACAGACAGAGGCUGAGUACCUGUGCGAGCGGACAGUGAUGACAAAGAACGUGAAGACCAGGGAGAUGAGCAGCCCAACGUCUAGUCCCAGGAAAAUGGCAGCGGAGAAUGUCACCAUCCAAACCACCUUGUGGGAAAGGGUUGGAGGGCAAAGAGACCUUGAAAAUGAGUGGAAUGGAGAGGUGCAAGGAGCACCUCAGACAGCUCGGCCCUAGAGGCUGUCUAGUCUCUGAUGGACUCCUGAUCAUCUCUCCCGCACUUCUUCCUCACAGGAUCCCAUGGACAAAACGGAGACAAUGUUAACUACGCUGUCAGAUGGUAGGUCGGUGGACAUGAGAAAUCAGAACUCACUGAAUGGUAGGUAGUUAAGCACUCGCAAGGUAUUAUAGCUAUUUGUUUUUUAGAUUUUAUUUAUUCUAUGUGUGUGUGCCCGCAUGUGGAGGCCAGAGGAAGUUUGUUUUUUGAAAUCGGGUCUCGCAUUGGCCUGGAGCUCCAGGUGGGCGAGGCUGGUGGCCAGCAAGCCCUAGGGACACAAUGCCUUUGCCUUUCCAGCCCUGGGAUUCUAAGUCUGUGCCACAAUGCCUAGCUUUUUUAUGUGCAUUCUGAGGUCUUAAGUGUCAAGCUCCUCUGGCCGAGCCUUUGCCCGUCCCUUUGAGAUGCUCAGAGAUGCUGUGGUGCUCUGCACUCCUGCCUGAAGCUCAGCUCUGGCUGGCUCUGCUCCAAUCCCAGCUCUGCAGGGGCGUCUGUACUCACACAUUCAUACUGGUCCUGCCUCCACAGGGUGGGUAAGUUGUAAAUGGUUUCCAGGUAGGGCACCACAUUGCUUAGAAUGAUCCCUGCCAGCACAGCCUGUGGGGAAGACAGAGUGCUUCACUCUCCCUUCAGGGACACAGUUCCCAGUCCUCUCUAGGGAACCGCAAGCACCAGUCUUGCCUCUGGCAAUACGACAUGGUUUUCAUGUCAACAGCACACCCGAACUCUGACUUACAGUGCAGAUAAAAGCUCUUUCCAGUUCUCUCCACUAUUCUAGUGUGUCAAGACCAACAGGCAAGGCUACGCCAAGGUCAGAGCUGACUCAGCCAGCCACAGCUGAGCCCGUUUGUGCUUGCUUUCUCAGAAAGCCCAGUACAGCAGAACAGACAUGGUGGGUCAGUAGAGAGAGCCUGCAUAGACAAAGUCAAGUAUGGCUUCUUCCCACCAGCUGUUUUUAAUAAGUUGAUUUUACCUAAUCUUUUUUAAAAAGACUUGCAUAUUCAUAUAUUUUUACAUGAUGAGCACUGUCCUUCAGACACAGCAGCAGAGCGCAUCGGAUCCCAUCACAGAUAGAUGGUUGUGAGCCACCAUGUGGGUGCAGGGACCUGAACAGGAGCUUGUAAGAGCAGCCAGUGCUCUUGACCACUAAGCCAUCUCUCCAGACACUCUGCAAACAGACUUUAAACAGUGUUAGAAAGGUGUGGUGGAACAGACAGCAGCUCAAUUUCACAGGGGUUGGGAGAAUCCACCCCCUUUCUUAUUCACUUUUGUAUCUUGUUACACUUUUUUAUUUCCAGACAAGGUUUCCCUGAGUAGCCCUGGCUGUCCUGGAAUUUACACCAUAGACCAGGUUGGCUUGGCCUCACACCGAGACCUGCUCUGCCUCCCAGGUGCUGGGAUUAAAAGCAAGCACCACUACCACCUGACUGAAUUUUCUUUUAACCUGAGGUAAGAAAUAUCUACAGGAAACAAAUCUUACCAUAAAGCCAUGUACAGCAAAGCUGUGUCUUUUCUUAAAUAUUAAGGUAAGACAUUCAUUUCAUUAACAAAUAAUUACAGGGGCUGGAGAGAUGGCUCAGUGGUUAAGAGCACUGACUGCUCUUCCAGAGGUCCUGAGUUCAAAUCCCAGCAACCACAUGGUGGCUCACAACCAUCUGUCAUGGGGUCUGAUGCCCUCUUCUGGUGUGUCUGAAGACAGCUACAGUGUACUCAUAUAAAUAAAAUAAAUAAAAAUUACAAUCCUAUAUAAUAUUAUUUUUAAAAACCUUUUUUGUUUCCUUAAGACAAGGUCUUUCUAUGUAGCUCUGGCUAUCCUGGAGCUCACUACACAAACCAUGAUGGCCACUCUCCUCCUGUCUCUGUGCAUGCUAGAAUUACCCAUGCAUGUCACUGUGCCUAGUGACUGUGUAAUCUCAACCAUCACAGAGGCAGCUGCUGCUAGCACUCUGGUAUGUUCUCUAUGACUUGGGCAUGAACCUAUAGUACUGCUUAUAGUCCCUUGGUUCUGGUUGCAAUACACACACAUAAUAUGGAGGGGUAGGUCAUGCCUCAGAUAAAGGGAAGAAGGGAUACAUUUAAACAGAGACACAUACACUUGAACACAGGGCCCAAAGCCAACUUGCAGGCCUGCUCUAAGGCUGUGAAUAAUCAGGAGGCUGUGGGACAGCAAUGGAGGAACAAAGUUCAGACACAGGCAGAAAAAGCAGAUGGCACGGGCAUGCAGCAAGUGUCUGAGUCUCUGUGGCCAUGGGCUUCCUACAUCUGAAUGUGUCAUUCCUCACCGAAUCCCCACCCCUGAAGCAAAAUUACAGCUGAAUGAGGACAAUCCUGACUGUGUUUCCUGACCACUCUCUCUGAGCUCCACAUGGCCUUGUUUUACACAGAGACCUGGAUCCUGCAUGUUUAUGGUGCAAUGAAGACACAACGGGGUCACUGCUGUGUGUGUAAGGGGGUGCACCUGUGCCUGCACACAGAGGACAGAGGAAGACUUAGGUGUCCCACUCUGUCACUCCUCCUCAUCUUCUCCUGAAGCAAGCUCUCUCACGGAACGGGGAGCUCACUUAUUAUUGUUUUAAGCAAGGCUGCCCAGUCAGCAGGACCUAGCAACCCUCCCAUCUCUGCCCACUUCCUUCCAGCACUGGGUCACAGGAUAGUAGCCACAGCUGGCUCUGACAUGGGCUGGGUGUCUGAACUUAGGCUCCCGGGCUUGUAGGAAAGGCAUUCUAAUCCCUGCUGUCUCCCUGGCUCCCAGACGUUACUUUUCUUUCUUUCUUUUUUUUUUAAUUUUUUCUUUUUUUCUUCUUUUUUUUUUCUUUUUUUCGGAGCUGGGGACUGAACCCAGGGCCUUGCGCUUGCUAGGCAAGCGCUCUACCACUGAGCUAAAUCUCCAACCCCUUAAGUUUAUUCUUAUAUUAGUACACUGUUGCUGUCUUCAGACUCACCAGAAGAGGGCAUCAGAUCCCAUUACAGAUGGUUGUGAGCCACCAUGUGGUUGCUGGGAAUUGAACUCAGGACCUCUGGAAGAGCAGUCAGUGCUCUAACCACUGAGCCAUCUCUCCAGCCCCCAGAUGUUACUUUUCAAUAAAACUGCUGGAACCACCACUGGGGACCAUACAAAUGCACUUCUCUGCAUGGAUGUUCUAACAAGGUUCCAUCUUUCUUUUUUUUUUUUUUUGGUUCUUUUUUUUCGGAGCUGGGGACCGAACCCAGGGCCUUGUGCUUCCUAGGCAAGCGCUCUACCACUGAGCUAAAUCCCCAACCCCGGUUCCAUCUUUCUUUAAGAUUUGUUUUUAUGUGUAUGAAUAUAUUAUGGGGUGCCUGAGGAGGCCAGAAGAGGGUACCAAAUCCCUUGGAUCUGAACUUAUAGACUGUUGUGAGCCCCGGUAGGUACUGGGAAUCAGUCCUCUGUGCUCCCCUGGAAGAGCAGCCCACUGGAAGAGCACUUAACCACCGACCCAUUUCUCCAGCCCCGCCUACCCCCAGAUCCCGUCCAUCCAUCCACCUGUCCGUCCAUCCAUCCGUCCGUCCAUCCGUCCGUCCCGACCCCCCCCCCCCCCCCGCUUACUCAGCCCCACUCACGUUCGGCAGGUUGUCGAAGAAGCUCCCUAUCUUCACCAUCAGCAGCAGCAUCACCCCUGCGCCCACCAGAGAGGCAAACUGAGGAGAUAGAGCUGGUUGAAGAGAACGCGUCAGGCACGCGUUGGUCCCUGUCUGCAGCUGUGGCCGUCUGUUUGCUGAGAAGCAUGCCAGUUUUUUCUUAAAAGGGAUGGGGGAGUUCAGCACCCAUGCCUUUUAGGCUCUUAGUGAAAUAUUUGACACACAGUAGAUACUUCAUAGGUGUCACAUGAGUGCUGUCUAGGGGCUUCAGUUUUCUCUGGAAUUCUUAUUGUCACGGCUGGGGACUAUGAAUCUCCUAAGAUACAGCUUAUGUGUCUCAGCUUCCAAAACUUCAGCCUCUCCUCACACAAGUUAGAAACUCUUCCCUCAACAGACACCUCACUGACAGCCCCAAGUCCCCUCCACUCGACUUCCUGUGUAAUAAACGUCCCACCUGCUUUUAUGUGCUGGCGUGUUGGCGGCUCCCCACCUUCAGUGAGGAGUCGUCUUUUCCUUGCUUUGUAUUUGAGACAGGAUCUCAUGAUGCAGCCCUGGCUGGCCUGGGACUCACUCUGUAGACCAGGCUGGUCUUGAACUCAUAGAGAUCUGCUUGCCUCUGCUUCCUGAGAGCUGGGAUUUAAGGCCUGUACCACUAUACCUGGUAUAUGUUAUCUUUUUAAAGGUUGUUUUUAUUUUUAUUUUAUGUGGAUGACCUUUCCUGCAUGUGUGUAUGCACACCGUGUCCAUGCCUGGUACCUGAGGAGCCCAGAACUGGAGUUACAGACGGUUGUGAGCUACCUGAAGUGGCUACGAGGAACCAAACCCAAGUCCUCUGUAAGAGCAGUGAGUACUCUUAGACACUGUGCCAUCUCCCCAGCCCCACGAUAGGGCUGGGGACACAGGAUGUGCUACCAGACGCCCCUCCCAAUAACUUUUAAGGACAGAAAUCUGAGCAAAAAUUAAGGCGAGCAAGGAAUCCAAACUCUUCCCAGAGGCCCCCACUAACAUUACAGCAUGAUCGACCCAGAUGGAGCCCUUCUACGAACAGACAUGCAGAUAGCCAAGAGGACAGAUGUGCAUCUCUCUGCUCACGCGAACAUCUAGGGGGACAACACUUGUAUGGAUUUAAGGAGGUUCAGCGUUUCACAUGCUCGGAGACCUUAUGUGAUUACAGUACAACUCAUGGUCCAACAGACGCUGGUUAAGAGGAACGGAACCUGCACGUUGGAGGGAGAACAAUCACAUCGGAUAACAGGACACGUGGGCCCUCACCUGGUUGGAAUUGGUUCUGUAGUUGUGCAAGUUGGCAAUCUUCUUGCCCAGAGAUAUGAGCAGAAAGGAGCUCACUACAGAUAAAGACAGGGCUUGUAAAACAAUUCUGCUAAGAAUGCCAAACUCUGGAGUCUCGGGGAACACAAAGCUGGAACAGAAGAGUGGAAUUACUGCGGGGGUAGGAAGUCCCUUACUGCACCUCCCUCUCUGUCCCCAUGCCAGGCAGACCUCAUGUUCCCUCCCCACCUUUUUUUCCUUUUUAACAAAGGACAAACAGCAAUGGAGGUGGCCGCUUGUGAAAACAGCCAAUGAACCAGGCCAAGGGACAAAGGCUCUCAAACAACAUCCUCUGUGGUCCUCUGGUCCUUGUUCCCAGCUUACAGUGAGGGCAGAUAACAGGUGUGAGUGCAGGAAAACGCUUCUGCUACUGAGGACAUCCUGGGGUGUGUGCUGCAGGUUGACCCCACACCUAAGAUGCGUUAGAACCAAAAGGCUCACAAGUCCUUCUCUAGUCACAUUCUUUAGGGCAGGGUCUCCUCAGUGCCCUUCACUCAGGCACACACAAACCCCACACACACCUUCUCCCUUACAGCUUUUGUUUGCUUGCUUGCUUUUUGUUUUUUACUUGUUGAAUCAGAAUGUCAGGUAGCCAGGCUGAUCUGGAGUCCCUGGUCCCUGUCUAAACCUCCUCAGGAGGAGAUAUGGGCACAGCAGGAGUUAGGACACAGUGUCUGAUUUCACCAGUUUCUGGCAGCUAUGGAUAAAUGAAAAAGGUCAACAUUUAAGUCGGAGUUGAAAUGCUCCUGCUCUGUGUGUGCCCUUGAACCUUGAUGUGGGAGCCACACUGAAGAAUCCAGACCGGGCUGAGAGCCACCUACUCACUGACCACCAAGCUCUCCACUAAGCUUCAGUGGGACCGAUCCCUGGGGCUCGCAUGGGAUAAGGAGAGAAGAACCAACGCCCAUAGUUGACCUCUGACCUCUGCGUGAGUGCUGUGGCAUGAACCUGCCCCCCACACCACAAUGUAAAAACAAAACAAAAAAUGUUUUAAAAAAAAUUCAAGUUAGCUGGGCAGUGGUGGUGACACCUUUAAGGCCACCACUCAGGAGGUAGAGGCAACCAAUCUCUGUGAGUCUGAGGCCAGCCUGGUCUACAGAGGGAGUUCCAGGACAGCCAGGGCUGCACAGAGAAACCCUGUCUUUAAAAACCAAAAGGAAGGAAGGAAGGAAGGAAGGAAGAGAAGGAAGGAAGGAAGGAAGGAAGGAAGGAAGGAAGGAAGGAGGGAGAAAAGAAAGAAAACGCAC
This is a non-coding RNA of Rattus norvegicus (Norway rat), 7238 nucleotides long. NCBI's taxonomy places the organism in Eukaryota, Metazoa, Chordata, Mammalia, Rodentia, Muridae. The record is from RefSeq and is a predicted model, not a curated record.